GAUGAACGCUGGCGGCGUGCCUAAUACAUGCAAGUCGAGCGAACAGACGAGGAGCUUGCUCCUCUGACGUUAGCGGCGGACGGGUGAGUAACACGUGGAUAACCUACCUAUAAGACUGGGAUAACUUCGGGAAACCGGAGCUAAUACCGGAUAAUAUUUUGAACCGCAUGGUUCAAUAGUGAAAGACGGUUUUGCUGUCACUUAUAGAUGGAUCCGCGCCGCAUUAGCUAGUUGGUAAGGUAACGGCUUACCAAGGCAACGAUGCAUAGCCGACCUGAGAGGGGGAUCGGCCACACUGGAACUGAGAAACGGUCCAGACUCCUACGGGAGGCAGCAGUAGGGAAUCUUCCGCAAUGGGCGAAAGCCUGACGGAGCAACGCCGCGGGAGUGAUGAAGGCCUUCGGAUCGUAAAACUCUGUUAUUAGGGAAGAACAAAUGUGUAAGUAACUAUGAAAGUCUUGACGGUACCUAAGCAGAAAGCAACGGCUAACUACGU
RNAcentral lists this ribosomal RNA (496 nucleotides) under uncultured bacterium. RNAcentral describes it as "partial 16S ribosomal RNA". It matches the Rfam family "Bacterial small subunit ribosomal RNA", at positions 28 to 506 of the family's 1533-position model. The record is from RNAcentral.